Molecule: non-coding RNA, 1104 nt
Organism: Microcebus murinus (gray mouse lemur)
Lineage: Eukaryota; Metazoa; Chordata; Mammalia; Primates; Cheirogaleidae
Source: RefSeq, a predicted model, not a curated record
AAGGGAAAAGGGGGUCGGGGGCGACAAAGGGAACUUGGUCCGCACGCAGCCACCGAAAUUGCAGUGCGAGGCUGUAAGGAGGCGCUGUGGCCUGCAGAAGAGCCUCGGGGCCCCAGGCCGCCUUAGCUCGGGUUUCUGGGGCUGCGGUAAGCAUCGAAUCACUUAUCCUUUUACUCUUUCCACCCAGGGUGUCCGCUGAAAAUGAGAAGUAUCCAGUCCCCGACGGUUGGCUGAAGCUAUGCGAGGAUUAUAUCCUGCUCCGCGUUGGUGCGAGCAUUCGGAGCGACCCCUCAGUUUGGGGAAUCCAGGUCAGUUUACUGGAAGAUUUGUAUGUGUGCUGGCUGGAAAGCUGACUCCGUGUCUGCUGCUUCUCUGUGCCUAGAAUGGGAUUGUUUUGGAUUAGGACCUGCCAGGUCUGUUUGGUCAGUUCCUGACUGCAUACUUGCUGAGUGUUGGCCUGCUUAAGACCCUGUUUUGUAGGGAUACAAAUAAAUGGAGCCAGACUCCAAGGUGACUUGGUUUCUGUGCCCAGUGGCCACGUGUCUGAGUGUGUAGCCUCUACUGAGACACACAGUUGGCAAUGCUGUUUCCAACUAUUUUGAAAGAGUGACUUCCAGGGCCACUCGCACUGUCCUCUGUAGGAAAAGUGCUCAGGAGGAGGCCUGAGGCCCAGGAGCACUUUGACCUGUUAGCCCAUUUUCCUUAUUGUCAUUUAUGUUUUUUCCUCUGACUUUCAGAGCGUUUUUAGCAUCUUCAGCUGUGAAAUCCUCUGGGAGGCUGCAGCAUGGCAAAGUUUUGAGGUACUAACAGGUGCUAUUUGCUGCAGGAAGACACCUACCCCUCCCAAGGUAGGAGAGCUGGGGGGGGAGGGGAGUUUAUUGGAGGCUGUCAGUCUUUUACUGUCUUAGUUUGCAUGUUUGGGCCACUCACGAAAGCAUCCACCCCACAGUAAACAGUUACCUACGUUCUCCCCUACGUGCUUGUCUGUAGACGGAAAACGUGUAUUGCUUAAAUUAAUAUAUUGUGUUAAGAUAUGAUAUGUACUGGAAAAAAUAAUAUGAAUUGAUGUUUCUGGAAUAAAUCACCCUGAUGCCCAAUUACCGA